GGGGGCGUAGCUCAGAUGGUAGAGCGCUCGCUUAGCAUGCGAGAGGUACCGGGAUCGAUACCCGGCGCCGGACCCG
RNAcentral lists this transfer RNA (76 nucleotides) under Araneus ventricosus. RNAcentral describes it as "tRNA-Ala". The stretch from base 4 to 69 matches the Rfam family "tRNA". Rfam says of the family: Transfer RNA (tRNA) molecules are approximately 80 nucleotides in length. Lineage: Eukaryota; Metazoa; Arthropoda; Arachnida; Araneae; Araneidae. The record is from RNAcentral.